UAGAGUUUGAUCAUGGCUCAGAUUGAACGCUGGCGGCAGGCCUAACACAUGCAAGUCGAGCGGCAGCACAGGGGAACUUGUUCCCUGGGUGGCGAGCGGCGGACGGGUGAGUAAUGGCUGGGAACCUGCCCUGAUGUGGGGGAUAACAGUUGGAAACGACUGCUAAUACCGCAUGAUGUCUACGGACCAAAGAGGAGGACCUUCGGGCUUCUCGCGUCCGGAUGGGCCCAGUUGGGAUUAGCUAGUUGGUAGGGUAAUGGCCUACCAAGGCGACGAUCCCUAGCUGGUUUGAGAGGAUGAUCAGCCACACUGGAACUGAGACACGGUCCAGACUCCUACGGGAGGCAGCAGUGGGGAAUAUUGCACAAUGAGCGCAAGCCUGAUGCAGCCAUGCCGCGUGUGUGAAGAAGGCCUUCGGGUUGUAAAGCACUUUCAGCAGUGAGGAAGGUGGUGUAGUUAAUACCUGCAUCAUUUGACGUUAGCUGCAGAAGAAGCACCGGCUAACUCCGUGCCAGCAGCCGCGGUAAUACGGAGGGUGCGAGCGUUAAUCGGAAUUACUGGGCGUAAAGCGCAUGCAGGCGGUCUGUUAAGCAAGAUGUGAAAGCCCCGGGCUUAACCUGGGAACCGCAUUUUGAACUGGCAGGCUAGAGUCUUGU
Molecule: ribosomal RNA, 656 nt
Filed under: uncultured bacterium
Lineage: Bacteria
Description: bacterial SSU rRNA
Rfam family: Bacterial small subunit ribosomal RNA
Source: RNAcentral